GGCUAACGCUGGCGGCGUGUCUUAGCCAUGCAAGUCGAGCGGACUUAUGGGGUAACUUAUAAGUCAGCGGCGGACGGCGGAGUAACACGUAGCUAACCUACCCUCUGGACGGGGAUAACCUACCGAAAGGUGGGCUAAUACCCGAUGUAGUCAUCCUGUAUGGGGGUGAUGAAAGGUGGGCUUCUGUUUACAAGCUCAUGCUGGAGGAGGGGGCUGCGGCCUAUCAGGUAGUUGGUAGGGUAAUAGCCUACCAAGCCGAUGACGGGUAGCCGGCCUGAGAGGGUGACCGGCCCGAGGGGCACUGAGAUACGGGUCCCACUCCUACGGGAGGCAGCAGGCUAGAAAUUUGGGCAAUGGGGGAAACCCUGACCCAGUGACGCCGCGUGCAGGAAGGAGCCCUUCGGGGUGUAAACUGCUGUCGUGUAGGGAGAAGGGUACUAAGGUGAACAAUCUUAGUACUUGACGGUACUACAGGAGGAAGCCCAGGCUAACCUCGUG
RNAcentral lists this ribosomal RNA (498 nucleotides) under uncultured bacterium. RNAcentral describes it as "bacterial SSU rRNA". It matches the Rfam family "Bacterial small subunit ribosomal RNA", at positions 28 to 507 of the family's 1533-position model. The record is from RNAcentral.